RNAcentral lists this ribosomal RNA (350 nucleotides) under Acinetobacter lwoffii. RNAcentral describes it as "bacterial LSU rRNA". It matches the Rfam family "Bacterial large subunit ribosomal RNA", at positions 120 to 518 of the family's 2925-position model. Lineage: Bacteria; Pseudomonadati; Pseudomonadota; Gammaproteobacteria; Moraxellales; Moraxellaceae. The record is from RNAcentral.
GGGGNAACCCACUUACCAUAAGGUAGGUAUUGCAACAUGAAUACAUAGUGUUGCAAGGCGAACGAGGGGAAGUGAAACAUCUCAGUACCCUUAGGAAAAGAAAUCAAUUGAGAUUCCCUCAGUAGCGGCGAGCGAAAGGGGAAGAGCCCAUUAAGUCAUAUAAGUUCUAGUGGAACGCUCUGGGAAGUGCGACCGUAGACGGUGAUAGUCCUGUACACGAAAGGGCUUAUAUGAUGAUGUCGAGUAGGGCGAGGCACGUGAAACCUUGUCUGAAUAUGGGGGGACCAUCCUCCAAGGCUAAAUACUCCUGACUGACCGAUAGUGAACCAGUACCGUGAGGGAAAGGCGAA